CAAUGGGCGAAAGCCUGAUCCAGCAAUGCCGCGUGUGUGAAGAAGGCCUUCGGGUUGUAAAGCACUUUUGUCCGGAAAGAAAUGGCUCUGGUUAAUACCUGGGGUCGAUGACGGUACCGGAAGAAUAAGGACCGGCUAACUACGUGCCAGCAGCCGCGGUAAUACGUAGGGUCCAAGCGUUAAUCGGAAUUACUGGGCGUAAAGCGUGCGCAGGCGGUUGUGCAAGACCGAUGUGAAAUCCCCGAGCUUAACUUGGGAAUUGCAUUGGUGACUGCACGGCUAGAGUGUGUCAGAGGGGGGUAGAAUUCCACGUGUAGCAGUGAAAUGCGUAGAGAUGUGGAGGAAUACCGAUGGCGAAGGCAGCCCCCUGGGAUAACACUGACGCUCAUGCACGAAAGCGUGGGGAGCAAACAGGAUUAGAUACCCUGGUAGUCCACGCCCUAAACGAUGUCAACUAGUUGUUGGGGAUUCAUUUCCUUAGUAACGUAGCUAACGCGUGAAGUUGACCGCCUGGGGAGUACGGUCGCAAGAUUA
RNAcentral lists this ribosomal RNA (534 nucleotides) under Ralstonia sp. D36. Its description in RNAcentral is "bacterial SSU rRNA". It matches the Rfam family "Bacterial small subunit ribosomal RNA", at positions 369 to 896 of the family's 1533-position model. The record is from RNAcentral. Lineage: Bacteria; Pseudomonadati; Pseudomonadota; Betaproteobacteria; Burkholderiales; Burkholderiaceae.